Molecule: long non-coding RNA, 281 nt
Filed under: Mytilus galloprovincialis (Mediterranean mussel)
Lineage: Eukaryota; Metazoa; Mollusca; Bivalvia; Mytilida; Mytilidae
Source: RNAcentral
AAAUACAAGAUACUUCAGAACAUAACAGAUUGUACAUCAGCAGUAUAAAAUAUACAACUGCAAGUUACUUCAGAACAUAACAGAUUGUACAUUAGCAGUAUAAAACACACAACCACUAGUUCCUUCAGAACAUAACAGAUUGUACAUAAGCAGUAUAAACAUACAAAUACAAGUUACUUCAGAACAUAACAGAUUGUACACCAGCAGUAUAAAACACACAACUACAAAUUACUUCAGAACAUAACAGAUUAUGCAUAAGCAGUAUAAAACACAUAACUACA